Long non-coding RNA from Ananas comosus (pineapple), 2784 nucleotides. RefSeq lists it as uncharacterized. The transcript is spliced from 3 exons. NCBI's taxonomy places the organism in Eukaryota, Viridiplantae, Streptophyta, Magnoliopsida, Poales, Bromeliaceae. The record is from RefSeq and is a predicted model, not a curated record.
AAAGAAGGUCCUACCGGGAGUCGAACCCAGGUCGCUGGAUUCAAAGUCCAAAGUGCUAACCACUACACCAUAGAACCUGUUAUGAUAUUGUUUCUGCUAAAACCCUAAUAAAAGUUUCACUUUCUCUCUCGCCUUAAUAAGGGCGAAAACUGAGUAAUCCCUCAACAUAAGCACUCCGCCGUCACCGGUGGCCUGGAGGAAACUGAGUAAUCGCUCUGCUUCUCUUCUUAAGCCCCUUAUAUUUUCGCCUCAAUGCAUUCCUAUAUGUACAUAUAUGCAUCCUUUACUCAUCUACAAAUUGAUUUAGUACCAAUUUAUUAGUGUCUCUCUAUGAGGUUUGUACAGAGUAAUUGGCAAUCAUCGUGACCAGUGUGUCUCUAAUUGCUUCUAAAAUCUGGAGAUCUUGUCAUAAAUAGUUUGGUAAUCUUCUUGGUUGAGAUGAACAUCUUGGAGAUUUUUGUAUGCAUAAUGUAUCCUGAAAAAUUUAUUACUGUUUUUUGCUGCCAACAGAGUUAAUAAGAGCCCUUUGUUAGUGACUGCUGCUCGCUGGAACUUUUGUAAUAAAUGAAGCAAAUAUUGUUGUGGUAUCUUGAGAGUAGCAGGAUUUUAGGCAAUGAGGUGAAAAACUAGUUAAGAUAAUUGGGCAAUGUUUGGUGUAAACAAACAGGCAAACAGUGCAUCAGGAAAAAGGAUAACUGAGUGGUUUUUUUAGCUGAUCGAUCAAUCUAACAGGAAAUGAUGCAAGAUAAGUGUUGAAUAUAAAUAUUAAAAUCACCUUUCUCUGACAGCUUAAGCUAUUGGCGAACAAUGAUUGUUUUAUAUAGUCUAAUAUGGUAUCAGAGCAGGAGAUUUUGAGGCCGAGUUGCGCCAGGCUCCUGACUUAAUUUAAUUUUCUCCAAUUUAAUUCAUGUCCAUGUCUUGAGCCGGUUAAAAAGACUCGAGCCUAGUGAGAGUGUUGAUUAUACAUAUUGGAGAACAAUGAUUAUUUCAUAUAAUUUAACAUUUAGCCCUGUAUUCAGUAUACAUAUUGCAAAUCAAAUUAACCAUAUGGCCACUGUACAAAUAGCAUUUUUCUAUUACUAAACUAUGACGGUAAGCUCUUUGUUAUUCAGUGAUGAAUGGUAUCUUUGAAAAGAUAAGAAAAGAAAAGAAAUGUGAAAUCUAUCCUGGAUGAAUCAUUGAAGGGAAAUGCUGAUAUCCGAUGUCUUUUGAUGCUGCAUUCGCUUUGUUAAUAAACCACAAUGCAUUUCUAUUUUUCAGUACUAUUCGUAAGGCCUUUUAGAUAGCAAGAUCUAUCAGUUGAAUAGAGACCUAAAUAUUUUGAUAUAGGUAUGUACUUGUAAUCGUAUAAAUUAUCUUUUAAUUAGCUGAUGAGAGACUUAAUAUGGGUUAAUGCGAUUUCUCUUUUAAAUUCGAAUCCCAUCAAUCCUUACGCAAUCAUCAGAUUUAAGGAAGGCAUGAAGGGAACUGUUAAAUGAGGUUUAUCUUGUAUUUCUCCCUUUUCUUUUUCUUGUAGUGUUGGAAGUAUGUUAUGAUUAUCCCAAGCAAGGCAAAUGCAGCUUUUAUGAAAUUGUCUCUUGCUAUAUACUCUUAUGCCUAUAAGAAAUAAUCUCUUGCUAUGAUCUUUUCUUCAUACUCUAUCUCUUUUUUUUGUGUGGUGGUCUUCAUAUUCUCUCCUCAUAAACUAGGGAACAUUUUAACACUAUCUUAUUCAAUUUUUGUGCCGAAGUCUUGCGAUUUUCUUAUACUCUGCUUAAUCUUGUAAUUACUGAUUGUGACCUUUUGUUAAUGAGAUGAUUUAGAACGUCACCUUCCAACUGAUGCUGAUUAAAUGGCUAACUGUAAAUUUUUGGUUGACAUUGGUUCCUGAACUGCUAUGUUGAGAGCUGAACUACCACUGAGGUCAUCAUGUUAACAACCUCCACUUCAUGGCCUGUGUCCUGGAGAACCCACAGAAACUGCCUGUUGUUUUCUGUUAGUUGAACACUCUCUGUGGAGUUUAUUUGGAAAUGAGCUGGAGCUAGUCUUUGCUAGCUACUCUGAUUUUCUUCUUGCCAUAGAUCUCGUUUUGAUUGGUGAUUCAAGGGCUUUGACGAGCAACUUAAUAUAGUAAUGAUCGCGCGACAGAAAGCAAAAUUAAAUAUACGGAGAGUUGUCAAGAAUCUGGAGUAGUUGCAGAACAUAUAUCCAAGAUUUGGAGGCUCCAAAUCUCCCUUAAGGUCAAAGUGUUCUGUUGGCUAGUCCUUAAAAAGAGACCUCUUACAGCUGAUGACCUCGUGAAGAAAGGCUGGACUGGAGACUCAGUCUGCGUGCUGUGCAGGGUAUACGAGGAGACAGUGGACCACCUAUUCUCUCAAUGCGUCUUUACCAAAUUCUAUAUGGUGAUGAUUAGGGAGGGAGUUCAGGCUGGAGAGUUAGGAGAAGACGUACGUUACGUCUGGGAUAGGUGGUUGGCCAAGAAAGGGGCGCAUAAUAAGCAGAAUAGCGUACCUGAAUUGGUCGCUUGCUGGUGGACGAUUUGGAAGGUAAGGAACGAUAUGAUUUUUUGAAAUAUUCAUGUUGACCCUAUUUUGGUUGUACAAAGAAUUAAGCAGCUUCUGAAGUUCUGGGAACCCCUCAUACGACCGAAUCAUUUAGCAGCUUCUAAAGUUCUGUUGUUCUAAAGUUUUUUUUUUUUUUUUUUUAAUUGUUGUUUCUUUUCUUGAGGCCCUGGUUGCCUCAAUCCUGUAGCCUAGUUCAUACAUUCAAUGAAUAAAGCAGGUAGCGUGCUACCUUUUCUCAAAA